GUCGAGGGUAACGCUCAUAGAGAAAUGCAUGUCGAGGUAUACGCUCAUAGAGAAAUUGAAGUUCUCGAAUAGUUGACAUAUGACAAAGACACUAUUUGAAUGUUGAAGAUUAUAAAUCGACUUCAAUGGACUUUUUAGACACAAGGCUGCUGUUACAUGGCUGUACAUUUAUUUUUAUCCAUUUUCUCUAAUGACUACUUACGAAUAUUCGAUAUAUUAUCGAACAUGCAAACUUAAUCCUUUGCAAACUAUAAUUUGAUGUGUGUUUUAAAUAUAUUUAUCAAAUUUUUGAGCAUAUUAACGUGCUUGCUUUUAUAUGUUAAUGACAAACAGUACAAUACUAUAAGUACAAUUUGGUAUUUAUACUGUCUUGUUCUAUGUUGACAACAUGUAUUAAUUGAUUUUAAAAGUUCACAAACAUUAGGAUUAUAGGAUAACAAAAUAUAUUAAAUUGAAGAAAAACUUGAAAGUACAAAAUUUCGUAUAAUAUAUAUCUGUCAAAUAUUGAUUUGCAAAAUAAUUAACAAUCAUUUCAUGAAAUAAUGAAAUUAACGUAACUAAUUACACAGCCUUUAGGGCUUAUUCCCUCAAUACAUUUCUCAUUUUUGAUCCCCAAGUGCUAUAUAUUUGAACAUGAUUUCGUCAUCCUAAACGCAAUACAAACACAGAAGAUCUGAUGAUAAACAUCCUAUAGGUUGCAUUUCUGUAAAUAUUGACAAUGCAAUUUCCCAUAGAACUCCUUUCCGGCUAAACUGUACCACUUUUACUAUAUGAAGUUUGACAAAAAAUCUUAUCCUAGAAUUGAAAGUUCUAUGCACCACAAUUUUCAAGGUCAAAAUAUAGGGCUGUGCGGCAUAUUUCAACGUUUAUAUGCCCUGAACUUCUCAGAGUUUAAACUUACACUAAUUUUUUAACUACCCUACCUCGAAUGAAGGUUACCCAGAUUUCAAUGUAACACUAUGCACGUGUUUAUUUACUGGUACAUUCCCAAGUUCUGUCUCUGCGAUAUGGAACACAGAGAGCAUAACUGGGAACCAGUAUGUAAACAAAAUUAAUUUUCUAUGAAUAUUCUAUUACUCUCCAAAAGAGGCGUGUUUUGAGAAACAGCUGUAUUUACAAAGUGCAACCUAUACAGACAUUUAUUCAAAUAGAAAACUCUCUAAAAUCAGUUUUUCUCACAUUAAUACUCAUUUAUCAGAAUUAAAGUCUUAAAGAAAUCACUGUGUAUACUCUAAGUUUUCUUUACUAACUUUUAUACCCCCCCCUUUUCAAUUUUUUAAAGAAUUGAAAACAAGACUUUAAUUAUUGCAGCUAACCCUUUUUUGAUAUUUUCUGAUAAAAAUGCCUAGAACCUGUUAAAAACUGUUUGAUAACAUAUUGAAAGCAUAUCAGAAUAUCAGAAAUGUAAUGUUUAGCAAUCAAUCAUUACAACAUUCAAGAUUAUAAAGUAUCCAAUCCACCUCUAUCUCCAUCCACAUCUUACUGUAUGCCUAUUUGUCAAUUAAAGAACAAUUUUCUGCCUCAAAUGGUCAAUUUAGAAUUCUUGUCACAACAGUUCAUCUGUAACCAUAUAUCUGACACAAUUUAGCUACUAAUAUAUAAUAGAAGUGUUCAAACAAAACCUAUUUGCAAUAGUUGUAUGCAUGCAGAUACCAGUCUGAGAUAUAAAUUCACUUAAAAUUUGUAUAGAUGCUGGCUAACAUCUGAUUUUGCAUAACUACAAGCAUAGUUAUUGUUUCUAUAUUCAAGAACUUUAAAAUCAUAAAUAAUAGAUUACAAGUUAAAUUAUUUGUUUUAUGACCCAGGGGGUAGGCAUUUUCUAUGUUUUUUGUCCUGGCCUCAAAUUUUCUAAAUCUUCUGCUGUUUCUAGCAAUUUGGAAUAUUUAGUACAUAUUCAGGAAUAGACACACUAUUGUAAGUUUUCUUGAGAUAUUUUUGUUUUUUCUAGCUUGUAUUUAUUAUUCCGUGGUGACAAAAAUGCAGAUUAGGUUUGCGGCUUACUUUUGUUAUCGAGGACACAAAUACCCCACAUAAUAUUCAGAAGGUCUAUGAGUUUUCAAUGACUGCGAAGAGUAAUAUAAGCAACUUCUUAACUUUACUUACAAAUAUGCAAAUAUUAAUGAUUAAUUUUGUAUCCAGGACUUUAAGUAACUAUGCAUACGUAAACUGUGAAUUUAUGGCUGAGAAUCAUAUUUAGCCAGGAUUUUAUCAUCUUCAUAAAUUUUAUAAAACUUCUUAUUUGAGUUAAUUUCUUAAAAUCUAGUGAAAUAAAGCCAAUUUUGGUUUAAUUCUGAAUGUCCCUUUUUCACCCUAUGAUAGGUUGCAUUUCUGUAAAUAUUGACAAGGCAAUUUCCCAUAGGAACUCCUUUUACGGCUAAAAAUGUACCACUUAUGAAUUUUUGAAAAAAUCUUACCUAAUUGAAAGUUCAUAUGCCACAAUUUUUUCAAAGGUCAAAUAAUGGCUGUGCGGCAUUUCAACGUUUAAUACUGAAAUUCUCAGAGUUUAAUUACACAAUUUUCUUAACUCCCUCUCGAAUAAAGGUUACCACAGAUUUCAAUGUAAACAAUAUGCAACGUGUUUAUUUACUGGUAACAUUCCAAGUUCUGUCUCUGCGAUAUGGAACACAGAGUGCAUAACUGGGAACAGUAUGUAAACAAAAUUAAUUUUCUAUGAAUAUUCUAUUACUCCCCAAAAGAGGCGUGUUUUGAGAAACAGCUGUAUUUACAAAGUGCAACCUAUAGAUAACUACUCGUUAGUCUGUCAAAGUAAUUUCAGGUGAAAUACUUCGCAUGGUCAUUCUGUAUUACUCUUCGCCCAUAAACAUAUGAUAAGU
Molecule: long non-coding RNA, 2834 nt
Filed under: Mytilus galloprovincialis (Mediterranean mussel)
Lineage: Eukaryota; Metazoa; Mollusca; Bivalvia; Mytilida; Mytilidae
Source: RNAcentral